UACGUAGGUGGCAAGCGUUAUCCGGAUUUAUUGGGCGUAAAGGGAACGCAGGCGGUCUUUUAAGUCUGAUGUGAAAGCCUUCGGCUUAACCGGAGUAGUGCAUUGGAAACUGGGAGACUUGAGUGCAGAAGAGGAGAGUGGAACUCCAUGUGUAGCGGUGAAAUGCGUAGAUAUAUGGAAGAACACCAGUGGCGAAAGCGGCUCUCUGGCCUGUAACUGACGCUGAGGUUCGGAAGCGUGGGUAGCAAACAGG
RNAcentral lists this ribosomal RNA (253 nucleotides) under uncultured bacterium. RNAcentral's name for it is "partial 16S ribosomal RNA". It matches the Rfam family "Bacterial small subunit ribosomal RNA", at positions 524 to 776 of the family's 1533-position model. The record is from RNAcentral.